CAGCGCAGCUUUGCAGGCGCUGGGGCUCCCAAAGGACGGAGCUUUGAAUCCACCUGGGAGGCUUAAGAGAAAGUGCUGAGUCCCCCAUGCCCUACCCCUGAGACUGCUGACAGGCAUCGCUGAGGGCUGCAGCUUUGGAAUCGGGCAUCUUCUGAGGAAGAGAAAGGCACCACAGCCACGGCACAGAAGACUAGAGACGGGUGUCACUAUGCUGCCCAGGCUGGUCUCUCGUGGCUUCAAGAGAUAUUCCCACCUUGGUCUUCCAGAGCACUGGAAUUGAAGUUCUAGGUGCAAUGUUUUAAGGGGAAGACUUACACUAUGAAGCUAGCCCAGAAGAGGGUGACUAGAGUACUGAGGAGUUUCUACCUGGAAGGGCUGUAAGACAACUGCUAUGUUGUGAGCGGCUCUAUGGAGAGGCCCAUGUGGAGGGAAGUGAGGAAGGCCUCUGGCCAACAGUCCAGGAGGAAGUGAAGCCCUCAGUCCAACAGCCUGUGUGGAACUGAACCCUGCAAACAACUCUGUGUGUGAGCUUGGAAGUGGAUCCAUAUUCAGUCAAACCUUGAGAUGGGACACCAUGCUCUGCUAACACUUGAUUGUGGUCCCAGCUAGGCCACUGCUGAAGUCUUGACUCAGAGAAACGAUGAUAUAGUAAAUGUUUGUUGUUUCAAGUUGGUAAGUUUUGGGAUAAUUUUUUAUAUAGUGAUAAUUUUUUAUAUACUUUAAAAUAACACAUUGCCCUAUCCUUUGGUUACACUUUUCUCUUGGAACUCUGCUUGCCCAUAUAUUACAGAAAUAUUUUUCAGAUCAUGGGCUGAAAGGUGGAUUAUGGAUGCAAUGUUUAAAUUUAGCAAUGUCAUUUAUGACUGUUCAUAUGAGCUUUGCUGCAUAAAAUGUUGAUAUUAAUUUGUUUCCCUUUAAGACAUUCUUAAUGUUUACCUCUCAGUAUUUUCUUUGUAAUCAAUUAAUGUAAGAUGAAUAUAGUUUGUAGGUUUUACCUUUCUUGAUUCGUAUACAAAACACACAACAUCCAACCAUUGUUAUUUAAAGAUUAUCUAGGAGGAGAUGAUGGAAACUCUGUUUUGGGCCACCUUCUUUACACAUUGGGUCUAUUUCCCCUAACUUGAGUAUAUAUUAAACUAGUGGGGGAUUGAGCUACAAAAAUGCUACUUGGUGAGAAUUUUAUUAAUACAAAUACUCAACUCUGAAGUUACGUUUUUGUGGAAAGUUAUCACUUUGGAAUUUGAAUUUUCUUGGAGCUAAGCCACUGGUAGUUGUAAAAGCUACACCUGUAAAUUUGCUCCCUAGAAGAUACUUUCGUUUAGUGACCACUUGUUUCUCUGUGGAUAAAUUCAAUUAUAAAUUACAAUCGAAUUGACGUUUUCAUAGCAUCCUUCACUCUCCAAGUAUCUCAAGUCCUCUGUGAAUUAUAAAGUAAUUACAGUGCUCAAAGGACAGUUUCAUAAUUGUGUCCAUGAGCACAGACUUUCCUCUAUGUUCGAGAAGGGCUCAUUCCCAGCCGGGAACAUUAAGUUGGAUUUUAUUGAGACUGGGGACUGCUAGUCCAGACAGCUGGGUGAUCCCCUGCGCUAUUUUGAAAAGUAUCCUGGGAUCUUUAAUUUCCACCUGGAUGGUCAGGGAGGUGAGAGAACGGCCCUCACUGGGUGUGACCUUGUAUCCCACUUGGGGUCUUGAACCAGGGGACCCCCAACCCCAGAGGUGAGACAUGCAAUAUGGUCAAUUAUACAACCUCUUAAUUAUUUUUUGCUGAAUCUCAAGUGAGUUCUCAUGGCCUGCUCUCUCCCGGGUGGGUUCAGAAGGUGGCCAAGAAGAAAUGUUAGAAAAUUCCCAGAGAGCCAUUUCAUGAGAAUGUUUUCUUUGGUUUAUACCUGAUACUGUUUUGUUUUUGUUGUUGCUUUUUAAUAACUUUUUUUUCUUUUUGUGGGGUCAUUUGCGUAAUACACAGGUGACGAACACUCAAGGUUAUUUGGUCGCAUGCCACCAAAUAACUUUCCUUUGGCACAUCUGCAGUGAAGGAGUCUUUCUGUCUGUCUCCUUUUGUUCCUCAUCAUCUAUUAGCUUGGCACAGCUGACUGAGCUGUUAAAUGAUUACUGCAUAUUUUGUACCUCACCUUGAGAGGCUUUGGUAUAAAAAGGUGCUAAUUAAGCUGAAGCUUCUGGCCCUCUUGCCUAUGUGGGCCCCAGGAAGCGAAGCAAAAAGACUUUAGGGAGCUGGAGCUUGUGUGUGUGUGUGUGUGUGUGUGUGUGUGUGUGUGUGUGUGUGUGUGUGUGUGUGUUUCGUUUUCAGCAUUUUGAGGAAUUGUUACUGGAACUUAUAAAAUAAUUGUUUUAGACCUUAUAAACACAGCAAAUUCUUCAAACUACGUAUGAGGCUGACUCAAAAAGCCACGUAAAGGUAGCUUGGCGAAUCAACUAACUGCUGACCAGUUUGUGGUGAUCGUAAGUCUAUAUAUGCUGGAUUUGGCGAUCGUAAGUCUAUAUAUGCUGGAUUUGAAUAUUUUCUGUAUUUAAAGAAAAAUAAGUACAUUCUAAGAAUAGUUGUCAUCUCCCUCUGUAGACUUGCCCCGUAGAUAUUUGAAAUGGGGAUUAACAUAUUUAAGAGUAGCAGGAAGUGCUAUUUCAUCAGUGUCUAGAAUGGGAGGCGAAUUCAGUCCCUGCCUGGACUUGUUGACUAGCUCGCUGGGUUGUGAAAACCACGGCAUUCUCCUGGGAAUUUGUUCCAGGGCACUGACUGCAUUUCUUCUGAAGCUAAAGCACUUAGCUUUGCUUCCAUGCCUUUUAAUAUAAUUUGUAGGCUUCAGCAGAUUUCUAAAGUACACCACUUGAUAUCUUUCACAGCUCAAGGUAAAUUCUGCAGCACGAACUUAUAGAAUUUUUUUCUUUUACCUGGGGUGAGAACAUACCUUUUCCUAGUGCUAUUUUUUUUUUCUGGGCUACCUUUCAUCUGUUUACAUGAAUUCCACUUCUUCUCGCUGUGUUAAAGAAAUCCCCUAAGCUGUCUACAUAGGUGUGAAACUUUUGGUUGUGAUUUCCUUGAAGUUAGUUGGAACUGGAACAUUUUUUUCUGUGUCCUGAAUGGCUCACACAUUCCCUAACACAGAAUGGAUACUCAGCGAACAGUUGUUGAAUCAGUGAACGGUAAUGGCUCAGUUCUGUCAGACAAUGGAUUGAAUUAUUUUUACACCUUUAAUUCACUCAUGGACUGAAUUAACCUACUCAUGGGCUGUUUGGGGCAUCAAGUGAUAUUUAUACAUUUCUGAAGAAUGUGGAAUCACCAGGGUUAACAGUGUUUGCAGGUGGCGUUCGAUUGCAGGGGCCCAAGGAACCACGGCUGAAUUCCGCAUGGACAUAGGCCAUUUUCCACCAGCAAAGUUAUGAGAACUUUUUUUGUUUUGGUAACUGAUGUGAAAUUUUCAGUUCCGAAUGACAUCCAGAAACUCUCCUUCUGCAGCAGAUGAAUGUUUUGAGGGAAUUUGAGAGGAGGGUUUGUCUUUUAUCUCUCACCUGCACGAGGACACUUGCAGUCUCUUAAGAGAUGUUCUCUUUUUGAAAUGGUGGAAGGACAGAAGCAUCAGCCAGCCCGUUCAUGCUUGGGGACAGAGAGGGAGCUCAGAGCUUAGGGGAGCACAGGUCACUCUAAUGAAUGACAGCUGUAAUAAUAAAGACAUGCCAUCCAUGCUACUUUUUGCAGAAACCAGAAACAUCCUUGUGAAAGUUAAAGGGAAAAGAAAAACGUGUACUUUGAGGGGGGUGUUAACGGGGGACAGGAGGUGGCGACAUAAAAGACUGGUUUAAUGUGUCUCGUUGUAGCCCCUAAGGCUUUACCUGACCCCAUCACUGUCACAACACCUUCUUCGGGACUGACAGUCUUGGUAAUUGAUGGGUUGGUGGGGGCUUUUUUCUGCAAACACAUUAAGGCAGGAGGGAAUACUCUGGCCCCCACCUCCCCACGCCUGGCACGGGGGACCUGGAGGCGAGCAGACACCAGGCCCGGCGGUGUUGGGGGCAGAAGGGAUCAAUUCUGUCAACCAGACUGCCCAGCUACUGUCAGGCACUGGGACCCUUCACCUGCUCCUUGGAGUCAUUAGAACUCCCAAAUCUCUUUGCAGGCCUUUUCUAUUAGACACAUACUCCCAUGUUUUGAUUUUUUGCUCCCAAAGUCAUUUUUUUAAAUAAUUACCUGCAUCGAACCACACUUACCAUCUGUGGGCUGAGAGCGGGCAAAUGAUUUAUUAGUCUUGGUUUCUAACGGUGCUGAGCAGCUUGGGAUCGAUCUUGCUGGUGACACACUCGGCAGAUGCACCGAUGGGUGGGAGGGUCAAUGUCAGGAUGAAGCUUCUUGCGGAGCUGACAUGCACGUGGGGACCCCAGGUGUGGUGUUUAGUUGGUAGACUGUGACAUUGCAAAAGUGGAGUCUCAAGCCAUGGCGGAUAACAGGCGGCAGAAAAAGCAGUGAGGGAGCUUCUUGGGAUGUUUUACUUUAAGUAGAAAGUAAAACUGUGCAUGAAAAGAGGGGACAGAGUAUGCAACCCAAAUCAUCGCCAAGGCUCUUGGUUUCUUCUGUGCACACUGCCUGCCUUGUAUCCAAGCGUUUGACUGUGCAGAGGCCAGUCAUACUGGGGGACCCUGAGCACUACCCUUGGCAUUUGGGUAUAUCCUGAUCAAUAUAGCCAUUUCCACUGCUUGACAUUAUGUUUUGGGGGCUAGUUUUUUAAAGAUCAAUGAUUGAAUUGCUGCUCGGCUGAUUGGAUAUGUCUUCUCGGAGACUCACCUGUCCUCCCCGAAGAGAUGCUGACUACACAACAGCAGUCACUGUGCUGGGCACACGGGCAGUGUUCAGGAGACGUGGCUUCCUUUCUUCUUCUUUCAUUUCUUCCUGCCCAGAACAGCAAGGCUGAGACUGAUAAUAAAAUUCCUGGAACAUGGAGAAACUCAUGUGGGGAGAAAAGAAGAAAUGUAUUGUGACUUCCAUGGGCUUUUGGCACUUUUGGACCUCCCUCCUCCUCUUUUCCAUAAAAAAUGUAUUUUAAGACAUAUUGGUAUAAAGAUGAGAUUAUUCAUAGUACAUAUUAAAAUGUUUUCCCCUACCUAAAAGUUUGUGGUUUUAUUGUCUUCUUGUUUUUAAAAUAAAUUAAAAUAUUUUCAAAGGCCGUUAGAAGAACCGUGGGCCCUGGGCUUGGUGCCUGCUGUGCCUCAUAAAUCAGGCCUGGAGAAGAGACAUCAGUGACAUUUUAGUGUCAGGUAGAAAAUGUAAAAUAUCAUGAUUGUUUUCCAAUGAUAUACUAAGUAAGACACAUAAGAUGUGUUUUAAUUUUUUUCUUGAUGUAUGCUGUUGUCUUUUAGUUAUAAAUGCUGAGUACUGUUAAAAGAUAAACUGAGGCACAAUAAAAUUUGAAGAGUUUAUUUGAGCAAACAAUGAUUUGUUACCGAAACACCAGGGGUUCAUCUGGGUCCUGCUGCUUGCCACACAGAAAGCCAAUCACUGAG
Molecule: long non-coding RNA, 5505 nt
Filed under: Homo sapiens (human)
Lineage: Eukaryota; Metazoa; Chordata; Mammalia; Primates; Hominidae
Description: long non-coding RNA NONHSAT172044.1
Source: RNAcentral